UCCUGGAAGCAGUCCGUCCAUGGGCUUAGCGUAUCCGGGACUUGAUCUGUCCAGGAAGCGUCUUUUCAGGAUAGCUAGCUAAUUAGUUAUGUUGUAAUGCUAACCAAAACUUUCCCUUUCGUCACUUUAUUUGCUUUAUUUUGCUUUUUUACUGUAACUAAGCGUAUUAUUACCAUGUCGCUUAUGUCACAGGGGGUGCAUCAACUUAGGUUACACGACACCAACUUCCCGCUAUUUAACUUUCUCUAUCCCGUCGUGUUUUAGUUGGUUUCUUUACGCGCGCGCCCGGCUUCUGCUUGCCCUGGUUCCCGCCCUACAGCCAAUAAUAAUCCAGAACCAAUGACGUGACAUUUUAACGGCCAAUAACUUAUUAAAGACAAAUCUCUUCCGUUGUCUCAAGCUCAUCGUUAAAUACAAAUGGACUGAAAGGUCAAGGAAGGUUAAGGAGAGUGAUUAUUACCGUCCCAUGACACGGUGCAUGCGAUACCAAAAGUCACAAAGGUUCCCAUGGUGCUGACUGUAGUGUAGCUGAACUUGGACAUGGAGGCUCCUGUUGCCAUACCAUCCUCCUCGUUGUCCCGAAGCCCGCGACGCCGAUGACGUUGGCACGGCGCAGAGCAGCACGAGAAGGUGGAGAGCAGGGCCUUGCGGAAGCGUGUGUUCAUGAAGCAGUAAAUGAUCGGGUUGACGCAGGCAGAUGUGUAAGACAGCAAGUGGAUGAACGCGAUGGGGGGCCCUGAGAGGAGGCGCUUGGCUGAGGUGUCGUCGAACGCUCGCCAGGUGUUGGCACAGUACAGGGGCAUCCAGCAGAGGAAGAACAGGACGACGAUGACCACCAGCAUGCGGAUGACUCGCUUCUUAGCCUCCAGUUUGGCCUCGGACGUGUUGCUGCGCGGCCGCUCUGCCUUGAUCGCCCUGCUCGACGCAGCCAUAGUGGACAUCUCCAUCGAGUGCGGCCUCUGGACGACGUUAACAUAGCAACCGUCUCCAUCGUCACUGCCGCUGGACACAGUGGAGACAACCUCAACCUCGCUCUCUCCAGCCAAACAGAUGGUGAUGUCCAAGCCAGCAGCUGUCGGCCAAUUCCAUCCCCUAAUGGACCACCAGUGAACACACGCCACGCUGCUAUCAGCCCAGACGUGCUGUCCUACUGUAUGUCUACAAAAGGUUAUGUGUCAGUUAACCUGCACACAUUACAGUGAUUGUGAUUGCACUAACAAAAUCAUUGUGAUUAAAAUUAAAUUGCUAUUGGAAGAAAUAUAAAGAGGCUGGUUGGUAGUGCAGUAAAUAAACUGUGUGAAGCCAACACUGUAGCACGUUUCUACACACACUGUGUUACACAAAUGAGUUGUUCCGUCUAAUAAAAACGCUAUUUGUGUCCACAUUUGUAACGCGCUUGACACAACUGUCCUCAUAAUAUUGACAUUCAAGUCUUGUGUGACUCAUACUUGAAAAUGAUUUCUCUUUUUUAUUUCCUCUGAGAACCCUCUCAGGUCAUGGCUCCAAAAGGUUCGGCACAAAUACCCUUAUAACCAAAUCAGUCAGUGUUGAUGAGACAAGGUGACACAUUGACACAGCACUGGUGAAAAUGUUUUGUUGAGUCAUUGCGAGAAUUAGCCAUGUUUCACUGCUUUACCCCUUCACCUCUGAGACAUGAAUCAAGGUUUUACACUGUUGGUUUCUCUGCAGCAUAUUAUCCACGUGUACUGAACCACUGGACUUACCA
Long non-coding RNA from Betta splendens (Siamese fighting fish), 1726 nucleotides. RefSeq lists it as uncharacterized. NCBI's taxonomy places the organism in Eukaryota, Metazoa, Chordata, Actinopteri, Anabantiformes, Osphronemidae. The record is from RefSeq and is a predicted model, not a curated record. The transcript is spliced from 4 exons.